This 456-nucleotide ribosomal RNA is filed under the name uncultured bacterium. Its description in RNAcentral is "bacterial SSU rRNA". It matches the Rfam family "Bacterial small subunit ribosomal RNA", at positions 28 to 507 of the family's 1533-position model. The record is from RNAcentral.
GACGAACGCUGGCGGCGUGCCUAACACAUGCAAGUCGGACGGAUCAGGUAUGACAGCUUGCUGUAGUGCCUGGUUAGUGGCGGACGGGUGAGUAACGCGUGAGGACCUACCCUGGAGAGGGGGAUAACGGCUGGAAACGGCUGCUAAUACCCCGUAAGCCUGAGGGUGAAAGGGAGCGAUCUGCUCCGGGGCGGCCUUGCGUCCUAUCAGCUAGUUGGUGGGGUAAUGGCCUACCAAGGCGAAGACGGGUAGCCGGCCUGAGAGGGCGACCGGCCACACUGGAACUGAGACACGGUCCAGACUCCUACGGGAGGCAGCAGUGGGGAAUAUUGGGCAAUGGGGGCAACCCUGACCCAGCGACGCCGCGUGAGGGACGAAGUCCUUCGGGAUGUAAACCUCUGUUGUGGGGAAGAAGUCAGUGACGGUACCUCACGAGGAAGCCCGGCAAACUACGUG